GUACCUCUUUUUGUUUUCUCUGCAGGUACGCAUAGCAGCUAACUUCGUCAUCCACGCCCCGCCAGGAGAGUUCAACGAAGUUUUCAAUGAUGUGCGAUUGCUGCUCAACAAUGACAAUCUUCUCAGGGAAGGUGCAGCGCAUGCGUUUGCACAGUACAACUUGGACCAGUUCACCCCGGUGAAGGUCGAGGGAUACGAAGAACAGGUGAGAUUA
Molecule: long non-coding RNA, 214 nt
Organism: Notothenia coriiceps (black rockcod)
Lineage: Eukaryota; Metazoa; Chordata; Actinopteri; Perciformes; Nototheniidae
Exons: 3
Source: RefSeq, a predicted model, not a curated record